Molecule: ribosomal RNA, 1372 nt
Filed under: uncultured bacterium
Lineage: Bacteria
Description: bacterial SSU rRNA
Rfam family: Bacterial small subunit ribosomal RNA
Source: RNAcentral
GAUGAACGCUGGCGGCGUGCCUAAUACAUGCAAGUCGAGCGAACGGACGAGAAGCUUGCUUCUCUGAUGUUAGCGGCGGACGGGUGAGUAACACGUGGAUAACCUACCUAUAAGACUGGGAUAACUUCGGGAAACCGGAGCUAAUACCGGAUAAUAUUUUGAACCGCAUGGUUCAAAAGUGAAAGACGGUCUUGCUGUCACUUAUAGAUGGAUCCGCGCUGCAUUAGCUAGUUGGUAAGGUAACGGCUUACCAAGGCAACGAUGCAUAGCCGACCUGAGAGGGUGAUCGGCCACACUGGAACUGAGACACGGUCCAGACUCCUACGGGAGGCAGCAGUAGGGAAUCUUCCGCAAUGGGCGAAAGCCUGACGGAGCGACGCCGCGUGAGUGAUGAAGGUCUUCGGAUCGUAAAACUCUGUUAUUAGGGAAGAACAUAUGUGUAAGUAACUGUGCACAUCUUGACGGUACCUAAUCAGAAAGCCACGGCUAACUACGUGCCAGCAGCCGCGGUAAUACGUAGGUGGCAAGCGUUAUCCGGAAUUAUUGGGCGUAAAGCGCGCGUAGGCGGUUUUUUAAGUCUGAUGUGAAAGCCCGCGGCUCAACCGUGGAGGGUCAUUGGAAACUGGAAAACUUGAGUGCAGAAGAGGAAAGUGGAAUUCCAUGUGUAGCGGUGAAAUGCGCAGAGAUAUGGAGGAACACCAGUGGCGAAGGCGCCUUUCUGGUCUGUAACUGACGCUGAUGUGCGAAAGCGUGGGGAUCAAACAGGAUUAGAUACCCUGGUAGUCCACGCCGUAAACGAUGAGUGCUAAGUGUUAGGGGGUUUCCGCCCCUUAGUGCUGCAGCUAACGCAUUAAGCACUCCGCCUGGGGAGUACGACCGCAAGGUUGAAACUCAAAGGAAUUGGCGGGGACCCGCACAAGCGGUGGAGCAUGUGGUUUAAUUCGAAGCAACGCGAAGAACCUUACCAAAUCUUGACAUCCUUUGACAACUCUAGAGAUAGAGCUUUCCCCUUCGGGGGACAAAGUGACAGGUGGUGCAUGGUUGUCGUCAGCUCGUGUCGUGAGAUGUUGGGUUAAGUCCCGCAACGAGCGCAACCCUUAAGCUUAGUUGCCAUCAUUAAGUUGGGCACUCUAAGUUGACUGCCGGUGACAAACCGGAGGAAGGUGGGGAUGACGUCAAAUCAUCAUGCCCCUUAUGAUUUGGGCUACACACGUGCUACAAUGGACAAUACAAAGGGCAGCGAAACCGUGAGGUCAAGCAAAUCCCAUAAAGUUGUUCUCAGUUCGGAUUGUAGUCUGCAACUCGACUACAUGAAGCUGGAAUCGCUAGUAAUCGUAGAUCAGCAUGCUACGGUGAAUACGUUCCCGGGUCU